GAGAUACACCUGUACCCAUGCCGAACACAGCAGUUAAGCCCUAGAACGCCUGAAGUAGUUGGGGGGUUGCCCCCUGUUAGAUACGGUAGUCGCUUAGCA
Molecule: ribosomal RNA, 99 nt
Filed under: Streptococcus suis
Lineage: Bacteria; Bacillati; Bacillota; Bacilli; Lactobacillales; Streptococcaceae
Source: RNAcentral